GAUGCCAGUCCUCCAAGUAUACCACACCACCAUGCAUAAUGUGAUCCAGACAUAAGUCAUAUAUUCUCUAUAUAUUUUGGUUUUAGAACUGUAAGGGAAAGAAACUCUCUUUCAACAAGAUACAUGUGACCUAAAUGAAAAAGUGGUACGCAAGCGCAUGCAUGAUGAUCCUACAAAGAACUUUCGUCGAACAAGAAUCCCAUAAGUUUUCCUUUGAACAUUCCUUAUAUCGUAUGAAGAAAAAAUCCACCAAAGAAUAUAUUUUGAAAAGGUCACCAAUUCCACCAAUAACACGCACAAUUAUCUCAGAUAAUGUAACUUUGCUUCAUUUCCCUCCUAAAUUAGUGGUUGAUUGCACGAAUUCCACUACAACUGCGCGCGCUGCCCAUUUACGUCUCUGGUGACGUGUAUGUAUAAAAAAACUGUAUCAAUUAAUGUUAGAAUAUUUAUCUAUAUAGCAUAUGAUAAUGUUUAAUCACAUGCCCACUACAUAUCCUCAUUGUGUUUUUCACCGUCUACAUAUCAUUAUAAGACACUUGUCUCUUGA
Long non-coding RNA from Brassica oleracea var. oleracea, 547 nucleotides. RefSeq lists it as uncharacterized. The record is from RefSeq and is a predicted model, not a curated record. Lineage: Eukaryota; Viridiplantae; Streptophyta; Magnoliopsida; Brassicales; Brassicaceae. The transcript is spliced from 3 exons.